Strigops habroptila (Kakapo) is the source of this 99-nucleotide long non-coding RNA. RefSeq lists it as uncharacterized. NCBI's taxonomy places the organism in Eukaryota, Metazoa, Chordata, Aves, Psittaciformes, Psittacidae. The record is from RefSeq and is a predicted model, not a curated record. The transcript is spliced from 3 exons.
UAUAAAUGUUGCCACUAGAAGUCGGGAGAAUAAAACUCCUUAAUACCGAUGUAAGAUUAAGGAGCAGGCAUUAUUUAUUAUGGCACCAGAUGCGCAGGG